GCCAUGUUAUUUCAGAUAGCUCGGUAGAUAGAGCAUGAGUCUCUAAAUCUCAGGAUUGUGAGUUUGAGCCCCACACUGGGCA
Non-coding RNA from Podarcis lilfordi (Lilford's wall lizard), 82 nucleotides. Lineage: Eukaryota; Metazoa; Chordata; Lepidosauria; Squamata; Lacertidae. The record is from the annotation of a GenBank genome assembly.